This 467-nucleotide ribosomal RNA is filed under the name uncultured bacterium. Its description in RNAcentral is "partial 16S ribosomal RNA". It matches the Rfam family "Bacterial small subunit ribosomal RNA", at positions 28 to 506 of the family's 1533-position model. The record is from RNAcentral.
GACGAACGCUGGCGGCGUGCUUAACACAUGCAAGUCGAACGGAAAGGCCCUGCUUUUGUGGGGUGCUCGAGUGGCGAACGGGUGAGUAACACGUGAGUAACCUGCCCUUGACUUUGGGAUAACUUCAGGAAACUGGGGCUAAUACCGGAUAGGAGCUCCUGCUGCAUGGUGGGGGUUGGAAAGUUUCGGCGGUUGGGGAUGGACUCGCGGCUUAUCAGCUUGUUGGUGGGGUAGUGGCUUACCAAGGCUUUGACGGGUAGCCGGCCUGAGAGGGUGACCGGCAACAUUGGGACUGAGAUACGGCCCAGACUCCUACGGGAGGCAGCAGGGGGGAAUAUUGCACAAUGGGCGGAAGCCUGAUGCAGCAACGCCGCGUGCGGGAUGACGGCCUUCGGGUUGUAAACCGCUUUCGCCUGUGACGAAGCGUGAGUGACGGUAAUGGGUAAAGAAGCACCGGCUGACUACGU